AAGUCGUAACAAGGUUUCCGUAGGUGAACCUGCGGAAGGAUCAUUAAUGAAAUGAAUGUCGAGAAGGGUUGUAGCUGGCCUUUUGGGGCAUGUGCACACCUUGAUCGCACAUCCACCUCUCACACCUGUGCACUAUGUGUAGCUUGGGAUGAUUACAGUGUUGGAAACGACGUUGAAAGCCCUAGCUAUGAAUUUUUAUACACCCACAUACAAAGUUAUAGAAUGGAUAAUGUUAUAGCGCGAAUAUAUACAACUUUCAGCAACGGAUCUCUUGGCUCUC
Molecule: unclassified non-coding RNA, 280 nt
Filed under: Pseudotomentella sp.
Lineage: Eukaryota; Fungi; Basidiomycota; Agaricomycetes; Thelephorales; Thelephoraceae
Description: partial contains small subunit ribosomal RNA, internal transcribed spacer 1, and 5.8S ribosomal RNA
Rfam family: Eukaryotic small subunit ribosomal RNA (bases 1-46)
Source: RNAcentral